RNAcentral lists this unclassified non-coding RNA (414 nucleotides) under Lotus rectus. RNAcentral describes it as "partial external transcribed spacer". The record is from RNAcentral. Lineage: Eukaryota; Viridiplantae; Streptophyta; Magnoliopsida; Fabales; Fabaceae.
UGUAUGAGUUGUGWUUGGGWUGUUUAUGCUGGCUGGCUCCGUGCUUUUGCAUCGAACGGUUGGCAUGCAACCCCGUUUCAAGUUGCGGUGGCGCGUGAUUGCGGUUCCUGUGUUGCCUACCUCUCGAAUGGUACUCGCGUGGCUUGUCGGAUUUUGUCCAUCCAGUUCUCCUCCUCCGAGGGGCGCUGGGGGACUUCAAAGUGGUACACAUGCUCCACGUUGUUACUGAAGCAAUUGCGGUGCAUGUGUACUUGUUGCUCUCUCGGGUGCGGUGCAUGAGAUGAAACAUGGGAAACUUUCCUCCCAUUAAGUCCCUUUAAUCUCGGUUCCCUUGAAUGACACUUGCCUUCGCGCUCGCUUGCUCUCCAUUCGUGGUUGCAUGCGGGCACCGAUGAGCAAAGUUGUUAACGGAUG